This 355-nucleotide ribosomal RNA is filed under the name uncultured bacterium. Its description in RNAcentral is "partial 16S ribosomal RNA". It matches the Rfam family "Bacterial small subunit ribosomal RNA", at positions 338 to 685 of the family's 1533-position model. The record is from RNAcentral.
CCUACGGGGGGCAGCAGUGGGGAAUAUUGCGCAAUGGGCGAAAGCCUGACGCAGCGACGCCGCGUGAGGGAUGAAGGUCUUCGGAUCGUAAACCUCUGUCAGCAGGGAAGAACGGUCACUGUGCUAAUCAGCAGUGAAUUGACGGUACCUGCAAAGGAAGCACCGGCUAACUCCGUGCCAGCAGCCGCGGUAAUACGGAGGGGGCGAGCGUUAAUCGGGAGUACGGGGCGUAAAGCGCCCGUAGGCGGUAUGGCAAGUCAAGGGUGAAGUCCCCGCGCUGAACGUGGGAACUGCCUUUGAAACUGGCAAACGGGAGGGUGUGAGAGGAGAGUGGAAUUCCAGGUGUAGGGGUGAA